AGAUGCUUUCUCAAGAAUUUGCUACGUUUUAUCUGACCAUGUGUGACUUCGUAUCUCAGCCAGGACUCAGACACUGGAAUGUCUGCAACAAAUGGAUCCGAUAAAAGGGAAAGCUGCUCUGGCUCACGGUUUUGAAAACAAUAAGAACUGCAAUGUUUUCCAGAAGAAAAAAACCAAACCAACAAAGUAUGCUGAUGAGCCGUAAGUAAAUCACACUAAGUAAUUAGUGCUCUGAAACGUAUCUUCUGAUCUUUUAGAGCAUAACUAUCUCAAUUUUAGAUCUGCUUUUCGUACUAGAUGCAGAGUGCAGGGGGGUUGGACCAGACAACCUUGGAAGGUCCCCUCCAACCCAGCUACUCCGGGAUUCUAUAAUUCUGUGUCACACACGUUUUAUUUGCUGAUUCCUGGCGCUGCUCCUGGGCCUUCCCUCUCCCUUCGUCUUUGACGGGGGGCAGUUUGCUGCGCGUUUAGCUGGGGCUCUCAGGUUUGCAGCUUGGAGUACCUGACCCCGGGAACCGGCUGAUAAAUGCUUUUAAGUGUGUGAGUGCCUUGUGUCCCCAGUGUAACAGCAAAUGUUGGCUGCUGUGCAGGGCACUGAAUCUUUAUAACACGGAGCAAAAACGCCUGCGGUCCCAGAGGCCUGAAAUCCCAUCUUCUUCUGCAAGGACCCACUGUAAUUCUUCUCCUGUUUCUCCAGACAAGGGCAAUCAUCUGGUCCAUUACUAAGAUACUUAAGCAAGUGUUUACAGUGAGAAAGAGCACUGUACAAAACUAAAAGGUUAAAAUCUAGCUGCAGGGUUUUAGUCUCCUUGUAAAGGUGAUGAUCCCUAUACUUUUACCUCUGACUUAUAUUUUAUUUAAAGACAGGCUGUACAGAUAAGUUUAGAAAGCACGAAAAACAUUUCUAAGAAACACUGAUUUAAAAAGCAAAGGUAAAUUAUAUAGGCAAGCAAACAAACCUACAUGGCUUAUUGCAUAACAUAGCUAUUAAGGACAGGAGAAAAUGUGAAAUAAUCCAUUAAAAGAGUAUUGAAAACAUUUUCAGAUGGAAAUAACAGUAGCAAAUUUGCACAUUUACAUUUUAUUUGUAGAUUUUUGUAUAUAAUAAUAAUAGACUACUGGUGAAUUAUUGCAACUAUCAUAUUUAAUAUGAAUCCUAUAAAUCAAUAAAAGGUGAGGAAAAAAGCCGCUGUUAGUCUAUGAAAAGUCAGAAUGCCUUGUUUGAGGCAGAAACAUGACAUCUGUAACUAACAACUGAUGGAGCGCAGGCGAACGUCUCAGACUCCCCACAAGUGAAGUGUCACAGAAAUGAAUCGCAGCCGCUACGGCAGCAGCGGGUCAGGGGUCUCUGGGCAGCUGCGCUUGGGGCAGGUGUGAUGGAAUCCCUGGGACAGGGUCUUUGUCUCCAGGAACGGGCUGUUGGCAGCCUAGUGCCAGAAAAGCUGCAGCUACGCUCUAAACUGCAGCUGUGAUGGACAGUCAUGAUCUGUUCUUCACUUAUUUUUCUGAAAGGGGGGCAUUUUUGGCAUUAUGGACCUUGAUCUGGCUGAUCACAUUACACCUCUGUAAAUUGUUCUGUGAGGCUGAAUGUUUGGUUGUGUUCCUGAGCAGGGCAGCUGUGGGUAACAGCAUCAGCAGGUCCCUGUCCCUGGUCCCUGUCCCUGGUUCUUGUCUCAGGUCCCUGCGCUGGCCGGGCUGAGGAGCCCCCUGUGCCCAGGUGUGCGGGGGCUCAGCCCAGUGCCCGGGAAUGGCACCGCGGGGCUCGCAGGGACCUCCCUCCCUAAUGGCCGUGGUGCUGCUGGUCGUCAUCGCUGGCACUGGUGGAAAAUGACCUCCUGAAGAGCAGUGCAGGCAACACCUGGAGAAGGAGCCGGGCUGUGUCUGGUCUGACCAUACCCCACGGCAGGGAAGAGGAGCAGGGUGAGUGAUUUCCCUCUUUGAUUUGCUGCAAUAACCUCCAAAUGUUGCCUGAGACCAGAAGCAGAAGAAAAAGUAGUUAAGAAAGGACCUGAGCCAGCGAUUUUCCUCUUUGCCUGACAAUAGAUCUGCUCUCUGCACCCGUGGGACACAGCCCCAGCGGCAAUGCCCUCGGCACUGCCUGUCCCUGGGCAGGGCAUCCCCAUCCCCAUCACCAUCCCCAUCGCCACCGCCAUCCCAUCCCACCCCAUCCUCAUCCCCAUCGCCAUGGGACACACCGCCACUGCUCUGCCACCCCAUGGCCUCCCAGCCUGGCCAGGAACGGAGACGAUCUGUCAGAGUCAUAAAAAAAACUAAGUCAAGAUGCAGGGACCCGAGUCCGUGAGUCUCAGCGGGUACGUCUAAGGACCUGUGUACAAAUCGCGCAUGUGUGGGGAGGAUUCAUAGCCACCAGUAUAAAAAGAAGACAAACCCAGAAAGUCCCGGUAGGAAUAUUCAGCAGCUCUUUUAAGAGUAGUUUAUAGGCUCAGACAGCUGGUGUGUUUUUUUUUGCAGGCCAGCAACUCUGUGUUAAGGCUAUUGGGGCAGUUAAAGCGGAUCUAGUUCACUGUGCUUGACUUUAUUUCAUCAAUAGAAAAUACCAGGAAUAUUAGAUUUGAACUGCAAAAGAUUAACAACCAAUCCCUCUUUGAACUGUUACAGACCAGAGGAAUGAGAGUUUCCCCUUACUCAGACAACGAUUAGAGCAAGAAGCAACACACUCACAUACCAAAUGAGCGUGUUGAAGCAUUUGCCCUGAUCUCUUUUGCUAUAAAUCUUUGAGAUGUGUGUUCCUGGCUCCUCUGUUGAAAAUACAGCUCCCCACUGCCGCAGAGAACAGAAGCAGCUCCAGAGCUGCUGAGCGAAGGUUGGUAGAGCAAUCUCAUCCUAAUGAUUUAGGAAGCGGAGUUCCCAGACAAGGUGUCAGUCAUGUUGAAGAGGACUUUAUGAUGCCUCCGACAACCUUUAAAGCUUUGUUUGCCUACCUUACAGAAAAGCAAAGUAACAGGGCAAUUUUGUUUUACUUUUGCUGUCAUCAUUUUAUUUGCGGUGCCAAUAUUGAGGGGCUGGAUUUAUGAGAAGACCUCAUGGAGCUUUGGGCUCCUCAGCCCAGCCUGGAUCCUGGGCAGAGCCUGCUGCACCUGUGGGGAUGGGACACAACGUUCUUCCAGCCCCACAACCGGUCCCAGGGUCACCAGCUGCGUUACAUCACUUGUUCAGAUACCAAAAGUGCUUGGCAUCUCCUGAGACACAAUUCCUUUCUAGAUAUACAGCUUCUAUCAUCAGUUAAGUGCUUUCUUUAUUUUGGUCUUGUUCUGAAACGUCCUCAUCCGUGAAAUGUCUUUUCCUCAAGAAAGAUUUGCACCAGAUUAAAGAAGCCGGUGCUCUCGGUGGGCAGCACAUUAACUUGCAGAACUGCUGGGUCCGUGGAAGGAUGUGGCCCCAGAGGCAGUGCUGGGGGCCACAGCAGCUGAGGACACGUGUCUGGGAACACGGGGCUCCCGGGAUGGCACCCCUGGGGGGCACCCCAAGGACACUUUGCCUACUCGUCUUGCUGACAAAGAGCAGAACUGAAAAUUGCUGUGUUUUUGGUCGGUAGGCUCCCUAAAGCCUCCGGGGCUGCAAAGCCCGAGCAGGAGCGCCAGGAGGGCUCUACGCUGAGCGCCCACGGCACCGCUGCGUCCCCAAGGGAGCCGUGGGCCGGCUCAGACCGCUGGGCUUCCUCAGCCUUCAGGGAGGGAAAUGAUGGUGCUUGUGUCCCCUUGUCCUUGUGCCCAAGCCAGUUAUAAGGAUUGCUUUUAGAGAAAGUGCCUGUCAGCAACUCCAGUAUCACUUGCUCUACGUUUUGAUGCCCCGUGUGGUCCUAAUUGGUUUCACAGGUACCAUACACAAAAUUACCUGUCUUCCUGACACUGGAAGUGAAAAUGUGCAAAACUUCUGCAGCUUGAAGGAGGAUGACGGAUUGCAAGCUUCCUUCUGCUGUGCAAUUACCUGAAGGAUCUGUGCUUUUCCACGUACUUUAGAACAAUUAUCCUUGUCUGUAACCUACUUUUUCCAUGCUUUAUGGCUCCUAUCCUGGGGUGGGAAAGGCAGUAAGCUCUCAUUCUGAAAUGAAGUGAUUUCUCAGUGAAA
Molecule: long non-coding RNA, 4089 nt
Organism: Columba livia (rock pigeon)
Lineage: Eukaryota; Metazoa; Chordata; Aves; Columbiformes; Columbidae
Exons: 2
Source: RefSeq, a predicted model, not a curated record